GCGCUCGUAGCUCAGCUGGAUAGAGCACUAGACUACGAAUCUAGGGGCCGGGGGUUCGAAUCCCUCCGAGCGCACCA
RNAcentral lists this transfer RNA (77 nucleotides) under Alphaproteobacteria bacterium. RNAcentral describes it as "tRNA-Arg". It matches the Rfam family "tRNA". From Rfam's summary of the family: Transfer RNA (tRNA) molecules are approximately 80 nucleotides in length. Their secondary structure includes four short double-helical elements and three loops (D, anti-codon, and T loops). RNAcentral also lists the same sequence under 2 other names. The record is from RNAcentral. Lineage: Bacteria; Pseudomonadati; Pseudomonadota; Alphaproteobacteria.